RNAcentral lists this ribosomal RNA (2931 nucleotides) under Escherichia coli. RNAcentral describes it as "bacterial LSU rRNA". It matches the Rfam family "Bacterial large subunit ribosomal RNA". Lineage: Bacteria; Pseudomonadati; Pseudomonadota; Gammaproteobacteria; Enterobacterales; Enterobacteriaceae. The record is from RNAcentral.
GGGUUGUGAGGUUAAGCGACUAAGCGUACACGGUGGAUGCCCUGGCAGUCAGAGGCGAUGAAGGACGUGCUAAUCUGCGAUAAGCGUCGGUAAGGUGAUAUGAACCGUUAUAACCGGCGAUUUCCGAAUGGGGAAACCCAGUGUGAUUCGUCACACUAUCAUUAACUGAAUCCAUAGGUUAAUGAGGCGAACCGGGGGAACUGAAACAUCUAAGUACCCCGAGGAAAAGAAAUCAACCGAGAUUCCCCCAGUAGCGGCGAGCGAACGGGGAGCAGCCCAGAGCCUGAAUCAGUGUGUGUGUUAGUGGAAGCGUCUGGAAAGGCGCGCGAUACAGGGUGACAGCCCCGUACACAAAAAUGCACAUGCUGUGAGCUCGAUGAGUAGGGCGGGACACGUGGUAUCCUGUCUGAAUAUGGGGGGACCAUCCUCCAAGGCUAAAUACUCCUGACUGACCGAUAGUGAACCAGUACCGUGAGGGAAAGGCGAAAAGAACCCCGGCGAGGGGAGUGAAAAAGAACCUGAAACCGUGUACGUACAAGCAGUGGGAGCACGCUUAGGCGUGUGACUGCGUACCUUUUGUAUAAUGGGUCAGCGACUUAUAUUCUGUAGCAAGGUUAACCGAAUAGGGGAGCCGAAGGGAAACCGAGUCUUAACUGGGCGUUAAGUUGCAGGGUAUAGACCCGAAACCCGGUGAUCUAGCCAUGGGCAGGUUGAAGGUUGGGUAACACUAACUGGAGGACCGAACCGACUAAUGUUGAAAAAUUAGCGGAUGACUUGUGGCUGGGGGUGAAAGGCCAAUCAAACCGGGAGAUAGCUGGUUCUCCCCGAAAGCUAUUUAGGUAGCGCCUCGUGAAUUCAUCUCCGGGGGUAGAGCACUGUUUCGGCAAGGGGGUCAUCCCGACUUACCAACCCGAUGCAAACUGCGAAUACCGGAGAAUGUUAUCACGGGAGACACACGGCGGGUGCUAACGUCCGUCGUGAAGAGGGAAACAACCCAGACCGCCAGCUAAGGUCCCAAAGUCAUGGUUAAGUGGGAAACGAUGUGGGAAGGCCCAGACAGCCAGGAUGUUGGCUUAGAAGCAGCCAUCAUUUAAAGAAAGCGUAAUAGCUCACUGGUCGAGUCGGCCUGCGCGGAAGAUGUAACGGGGCUAAACCAUGCACCGAAGCUGCGGCAGCGACGCUUAUGCGUUGUUGGGUAGGGGAGCGUUCUGUAAGCCUGUGAAGGUGUACUGUGAGGUAUGCUGGAGGUAUCAGAAGUGCGAAUGCUGACAUAAGUAACGAUAAAGCGGGUGAAAAGCCCGCUCGCCGGAAGACCAAGGGUUCCUGUCCAACGUUAAUCGGGGCAGGGUGAGUCGACCCCUAAGGCGAGGCCGAAAGGCGUAGUCGAUGGGAAACAGGUUAAUAUUCCUGUACUUGGUGUUACUGCGAAGGGGGGACGGAGAAGGCUAUGUUGGCCGGGCGACGGUUGUCCCGGUUUAAGCGUGUAGGCUGGUUUUCCAGGCAAAUCCGGAAAACUAAGGCUGAGGCGUGAUGACGAGGCACUACGGUGCUGAAGCAACAAAUGCCCUGCUUCCAGGAAAAGCCUCUAAGCAUCAGGUAACAUCAAAUCGUACCCCAAACCGACACAGGUGGUCAGGUAGAGAAUACCAAGGCGCUUGAGAGAACUCGGGUGAAGGAACUAGGCAAAAUGGUGCCGUAACUUCGGGAGAAGGCACGCUGAUAUGUAGGUGAAGUCCCUCGCGGAUGGAGCUGAAAUCAGUCGAAGAUACCAGCUGGCUGCAACUGUUUAUUAAAAACACAGCACUGUGCAAACACGAAAGUGGACGUAUACGGUGUGACGCCUGCCCGGUGCCGGAAGGUUAAUUGAUGGGGUCAGCGCAAGCGAAGCUCUUGAUCGAAGCCCCGGUAAACGGCGGCCGUAACUAUAACGGUCCUAAGGUAGCGAAAUUCCUUGUCGGGUAAGUUCCGACCUGCACGAAUGGCGUAAUGAUGGCCAGGCUGUCUCCACCCGAGACUCAGUGAAAUUGAACUCGCUGUGAAGAUGCAGUGUACCCGCGGCAAGACGGAAAGACCCCGUGAACCUUUACUAUAGCUUGACACUGAACAUUGAGCCUUGAUGUGUAGGAUAGGUGGGAGGCUUUGAAGUGUGGACGCCAGUCUGCAUGGAGCCGACCUUGAAAUACCACCCUUUAAUGUUUGAUGUUCUAACGUGGACCCGUAAUCCGGGUUGCGGACAGUGUCUGGUGGGUAGUUUGACUGGGGCGGUCUCCUCCUAAAGAGUAACGGAGGAGCACGAAGGUUGGCUAAUCCUGGUCGGACAUCAGGAGGUUAGUGCAAUGGCAUAAGCCAGCUUGACUGCGAGCGUGACGGCGCGAGCAGGUGCGAAAGCAGGUCAUAGUGAUCCGGUGGUUCUGAAUGGAAGGGCCAUCGCUCAACGGAUAAAAGGUACUCCGGGGAUAACAGGCUGAUACCGCCCAAGAGUUCAUAUCGACGGCGGUGUUUGGCACCUCGAUGUCGGCUCAUCACAUCCUGGGGCUGAAGUAGGUCCCAAGGGUAUGGCUGUUCGCCAUUUAAAGUGGUACGCGAGCUGGGUUUAGAACGUCGUGAGACAGUUCGGUCCCUAUCUGCCGUGGGCGCUGGAGAACUGAGGGGGGCUGCUCCUAGUACGAGAGGACCGGAGUGGACGCAUCACUGGUGUUCGGGUUGUCAUGCCAAUGGCACUGCCCGGUAGCUAAAUGCGGAAGAGAUAAGUGCUGAAAGCAUCUAAGCACGAAACUUGCCCCGAGAUGAGUUCUCCCUGACUCCUUGAGAGUCCUGAAGGAACGUUGAAGACGACGACGUUGAUAGGCCGGGUGUGUAAGCGCAGCGAUGCGUUGAGCUAACCGGUACUAAUGAACCGUGAGGCUUAACCUUACAACGCCGAAGGUGUUU